Molecule: long non-coding RNA, 2858 nt
Organism: Silurus meridionalis
Lineage: Eukaryota; Metazoa; Chordata; Actinopteri; Siluriformes; Siluridae
Exons: 3
Source: RefSeq, a predicted model, not a curated record
GGAACCAGGGUCAGGAGUGGGAACAAAUUCUUGAGUCUCCAUCUGUUCCUGGGAAAAAUCAAAGGUCUGUGAUGCCAGAUGAGGAGAGGCAAAGGAAUGAAGGAGAAACAGUCAGAGUUGCAGAAAAUGAAAUGGAAAGGGGAACUACAGGGUUGGAGGAAGGAAAUGUGAGAAGGACACAAAGAGUGGGAAAACCAAGAGAAAUGUUCACAUAUGACACUCUGGGUGUUCCAUCUUACCAACCCUGGAGAUCAGAGGUACACUCACUACAACUCACCCAACCAUAUAUAUCUCCAAAUGGGACACAUUACUUUCAGUAUAUGGCCACCAACCCUUGUUGUCAUUGUUGUCAUAAGGUGUACUGAGGUAGUGAUUCAAAGAAGAGAAUGAAAGCAAAUAACACAUUUUCAGAGGUUAUUCAGAUGUCAGUAGUCAUCAAAAAAAAAGAAGGGGAGAGUGUAGUAGGUUGAAAAAAAAAUAUAUGUAUAGAUGUUAAAAUUAAAGAGGAAAAAAAGGACACCCCCUUUAAAAUUUUGUGUUGUUCAUAAAUGAUGCCUUCAACAUUUGUUUAUUGAUGGGUAAAUUCAUUGUUACAUUCUUUGUUGUGGGUAAAGAAAAUGUUGCUGUUAUUAUUGUUUCCUGUAGAGGGCGUUUAGCGCUGUUUAACUAAGGUACUGCACCGGGCGUUCAGAGUUAAUUAAACUUUGCCGGAGCUUACAGCCAGUACUCCUGUCUCACAGCGUUUUAUUUAUCAUUCUACAGGUGAGCAAAAACGAUUCUAAAACUGGUCGAAAUUGGUGUUAAAAGCUGUGUUUCAAACAUGUAUAGGUUGAUUUUUGUUAAGUUACUGAGAAAGACUGUUAGUUUUGUUCAUAUGCAUGCCGUAGUAAUGAGUCGAAUAUCAGCUCACACACGAGUGACAAAUAUGUGAAUUUAAAGCGAAAUGAGAGGAAAUACUCAUUUGGGAAGAGUUUAGGAAUGUUUCUAAAGUGUUUUAUAGGUUGAUUGUAAGUGGAUGAUAAAGUUUAAGUAAGUUAAAUGUACAUUUGCUACUGGAGUUAUCUCGAGCCAAAAUGGCAGUGCAUGUAUUUGUGAACUAGAGCCAAAAUGGCGUCUUGCAUGUAAAACAUGAGGUUACUGCGAAGCUAAAUGCAAGAAUUAUUUAUGUGACAGUGUGAAAAUGGAAUAAGUGUUCAUGAGGAUGUGAAAACAGUAGCAGGUCAAUGUAUUGUGACUGAUUAUAAUGUGUUACAAAUAAAAAAUAAUUGUUCUGAAAAGUUAAACCUGUGAAUGUUGUGAAUACAUUGUGAACUAAGAAAAAUGACAGAGUUAAUUAAACUUUGCCGGAGCUUACAGCCAGUACUCCUGUCUCACAGCGUUUUAUUUAUCAUUCUACAGAGCCGGCAGAAGCGGUUAAUUCACCUCACCCAUUCAGGCUUCCCAGCCCUGAUGCGGGUAACAUUUACAUGUUUACCUCUGCAUGCUCAACCUUCUGUUUAUAAUUUCAGCUUCUUUUUGAAGAUCAACAAUCAUUAGGGUAAUUUGUUAAUGUAUUUUAUUUGUGAGACCCAAACUUUCUAUUAUUUCCUUCAUUAACAAUAGAUUUGGAAAAAGAAAUCUUGUAUUAGUUCAUCAGUGUUUCCUACACAGGUGUUAUUGAGGAAUUCACAAAUAAAUUGUGCCUUAAUUAAGCAGAAGGAGUUUAGCAGGUGAUGAACCUGAGACUAAUCUUUAAAGUAGCCUGGAUCAGUAAUGUGUCCUAGAACUUUAUGGAACACUGUAACUUUGAUUAAUUUUAUUUAACUGGAGCGUCGUCAUUUGAUAGAAUUAACAUUCAAACUUAGAACUUAUCUGAAGUAAUCGAUCCAUCUGCUGGCAUGGAGGGGAAAAGAAAAGGAGAAUCUGGAGGACAUGGGAAAAACUACAAUAUAAAAUAUAAAAUAAAUACGAAAGGAAUUCAAAAGCAGUUAAAACAUGCAAUAGUUUACUGAUUUUAUUAUAUCUUUUAGUGUAGAGCAGAGAUGCCCAAACUAGGGUCUGCAGGCCAAAGUUGUCCCCUGUUGACCUUUGAUUUGGCCCAUCAUGUCAUAUAUGAUAACAGGAUAAAAAAGAGGAAGCAGGAUUCCAUUGCCACAUAGAUUCAUAACUAAGUUACCAUAACGUUUUUGUUUUACUUUUUAAGCUGCAAAAAAAUUGCAGUACCUUCUUCUGUGAGCAAACUUUCAGUCCAAACUUUUGAAUAUAAGGACCAGCUUCAUGUCUCUCAUUAGAGGACACUGAUAUUGCAGGCAUAUGGCUUUAUUGUUUAUAGCUUGAAUCGUUGUUUUAAACUCUAUAAUACUGUUAAUGGAAUUAUUUCUAUGUUUGCAUUGUGCUAUGAUUCAUUGAACUAGAAAGUGCAGAAAAUAAAUCUACAUUAGCUGAGCUGCUUUCUAUUUAUUUAUUAUUUAAUAUCUAAAUAUAAUGAAUUGAUAAAUAAAGGGGAAUCAUGGCGAAUUUUCAUUUUAAUAAUCAUUUUGGUCCACAGCCCUCAAUCAAGUUUGAUUUUUCAGCACUUCAUAAGAAAAAGAUGAGGUGUAGUCACAUCAGUUCUGACAUCAGGAAGGAGCUUCAUGAACUCUAAUCAUGUUAACUGGUUAGAGCACAGAAUAUCUUCAUUCAGCUAAAACCAUUCAUCAUGUUCACUGUAAUAUUCAUGUACCUGUGGCUUUCUGUAGGUGACUCCAUGGCAGAUUCAAUAGAGCCACUUUUUACUCAUAAAGCUGUAGAUGAAGGUGAAAGUGUUACUCUGUCCUGCAGAUACAAAACAAGUGAUACAACCCCCUACCUGCACUGGUACAGACAACAACCGAAAUCUA